Molecule: long non-coding RNA, 442 nt
Organism: Bufo gargarizans (Asiatic toad)
Lineage: Eukaryota; Metazoa; Chordata; Amphibia; Anura; Bufonidae
Exons: 3
Source: RefSeq, a predicted model, not a curated record
GCUACUCGCGAGGUUCCAGUUUGGAGUGCUAUUUUGUAUCCAGUUCGGGAGGUGCUCCUCUUCCGAAAGUACGCGCUAAGCGUUCUAGAAAGAAGGUGGUGGUGGAAGAGAAGGAGAUGACAGAGGAUGAGGAGGAUGAGGAGCAGGAACAGACAGGACCCAUCAGGGCAACAGGCCCAUUGCCCACCUGAUGAAGAUGAGGUCGAGAAGGAGGAAGACGACGAGGUGGUGACCACCCCCCGCCAGGAGGCUCACAACAACAUGAAAAAAAAAAAAAAAAAGUGAAGCGGGAGCAGCGAGAACGGAUGAGGCAGUUCAGGGCACUGCAGAUGCGCAAGAUAAGGGAGCUGAAACUCCAAUUAUCCUGCCAGCUCGGCCUAAUGGAGAAGGCCAACCAAAAGGCCCUUGAUAAACUGCUCCAAGAGUAGAAAACAAUAUGAAA